NNNNNNNNNNNNGAUCUGGCUGCGACAUCUGUCACCCCACUGAUCGCCAGGUUUGAUUCGGCUGAUCUGGCUGGCUAGGCGGUUGUCCCCUUCCUCCCUCACCUCUCCAUGUGUGCCCCUCCUGAAGCUGCGUGCUUGGUUGAAGAGGACGGCCUUUCCUGAAUAGAGACGGACCAGUGUUUGGUCUAGGGUAUACGAGCUAGAACCUGCUAGAACCUCCAAACAAGCUCUCAAAUUGUAACUAUCGUCCCAAGUCAUAUCAAGGCUCAAGUAGGUUAGAAGGCUUCUGGAUCCAUAAUACUUGGGUUGCAUGGUACUUGGAUGUCCCAGUGUAU
Molecule: unclassified non-coding RNA, 335 nt
Organism: Erinaceus europaeus (western European hedgehog)
Lineage: Eukaryota; Metazoa; Chordata; Mammalia; Eulipotyphla; Erinaceidae
Gene: 7SK
Rfam family: 7SK RNA
About the family: 7SK was discovered as an abundant small nuclear RNA in the mid-70s but a possible function has only recently been suggested.
Source: Ensembl